CAGUCGCCGCGGUAACACGUAGGUGGCAAGCGUUGUCCGGAAUUAUUGGGCGUAAAGGGCUCGCAGGCGGUUUCUUAAGUCUGAUGUGAAAGCCCACAGCUCAACCGUGGAGGGUCAUUGGAAACUGUUAAACUUGAGUGCAGGAGAGAAAAGUGGAAUUCCUAGUGUAGCGGUGAAGUGCGUAGAGAUUAGGAGGAACACCAGUGGCGAAGGCGGCUUUUUGGCCUGUAACUGACACUGAGGCGCGAAAGCGUGGGGAGCAAACAGGAUUAGAUACCCCAGUAGUCCCUGUCUCUUAUAC
This 301-nucleotide ribosomal RNA is filed under the name uncultured bacterium. RNAcentral describes it as "partial 16S ribosomal RNA". It matches the Rfam family "Bacterial small subunit ribosomal RNA", at positions 509 to 807 of the family's 1533-position model. The record is from RNAcentral.